GGCAAACCUGAUAGGUUCGGCGCACCGUUCGGUGAUGGGAAAUCGGUGCAAGGCCGAUGCUGCCCCCGCAACUGUAUCGGGUUGGGAGAUCCGGGUCGGCGCUAUGGCGCCAGACCAGCCACCGGGCAACCGGGAAGGCGGAUCGCUUUCAUGCCCGCAGCCAGGAAACCUGCCGAAGGUAUCACUAUUCU
RNAcentral lists this non-coding RNA (191 nucleotides) under Thalassospira sp. HJ. RNAcentral also lists the same sequence under 1 other name. Lineage: Bacteria; Pseudomonadati; Pseudomonadota; Alphaproteobacteria; Rhodospirillales; Thalassospiraceae. The record is from RNAcentral.